This 242-nucleotide ribosomal RNA is filed under the name uncultured Staphylococcus sp. RNAcentral's name for it is "partial 16S ribosomal RNA". It matches the Rfam family "Bacterial small subunit ribosomal RNA", at positions 118 to 356 of the family's 1533-position model. The record is from RNAcentral. Lineage: Bacteria; Bacillati; Bacillota; Bacilli; Caryophanales; Staphylococcaceae.
UGGGUAACCUACCUAUAAGACUGGGAUAACUCGGGAAACCGGAGCUAAUACCGGAUAAUAUUCGAACCGCAUGGUUCGAUAGUGAAAGAUGGUUUUGCUAUCACUUAUAGAUGGACCCGCGCCGUAUUAGCUAGUUGGUAAGGUAACGGCUUACCAAGGCGACGAUACGUAGCCGACCUGAGAGGGUGAUCGGCCACACUGGAACUGAGACACGGUCCAGACUCCUACGGGAGGCAGCAGCG